AUCUAGGUAGCUUAGGUAGAGCAUUUCAUUGAAGAUGAAAAGGAAUUUUUUCUUAGAUA
RNAcentral lists this transfer RNA (59 nucleotides) under Acanthogammarus victorii. RNAcentral's name for it is "tRNA-Phe". The record is from RNAcentral. Lineage: Eukaryota; Metazoa; Arthropoda; Malacostraca; Amphipoda; Acanthogammaridae.